RNAcentral lists this ribosomal RNA (305 nucleotides) under uncultured bacterium. RNAcentral describes it as "bacterial SSU rRNA". It matches the Rfam family "Bacterial small subunit ribosomal RNA", at positions 356 to 678 of the family's 1533-position model. The record is from RNAcentral.
CGGGAAUUUUGGGCAAUGGGCGAAAGCCUGACCCAGCAACGCUGCGUGAGGGAUGAAGUAUUUCGGUAUGUAAACCUCGAAAGAAUGGGAAGAAUAAAUGACGGUACCAUUUAUAAGCUCCGGCUAACUACGUGCCAGCCGCCGCGGUAAUACGUAGGGAGCAAGCGUUGUUCGGAUUUACUGGGCGUAAAGGGCGCGUAGGCGGGGCGGUAAGUCACUUGUGAAAUCUCUGAGCUUAACUCAGAACGGCCAAGUGAUACUGCUGUGCUAGAGUGCGAAAGAGGCAACCGGAGUUCUUGGUGUAG